RNAcentral lists this ribosomal RNA (120 nucleotides) under Castor canadensis (American beaver). The record is from RNAcentral. Lineage: Eukaryota; Metazoa; Chordata; Mammalia; Rodentia; Castoridae.
GUCUAUGGCCAUACCACCCUGAACUCACCCAAUCUCAUCUGAUCUCAGAAGCUAAGCAGGGUUGGUCCUGGUUAGUACUUGGAUGGGAGAAGGAUCUUCAGAGAAGACUGUUCAGAGACA